Molecule: ribosomal RNA, 201 nt
Filed under: uncultured eukaryote
Lineage: Eukaryota
Description: partial 18S ribosomal RNA
Rfam family: Eukaryotic small subunit ribosomal RNA
Source: RNAcentral
UGGUGGACUGAUUUGUCUGGUUAAUUCCGAUAACGAACGAGACCUUAUCCUGCUAAAUAGUGACAUGGACCUACAGGUCGGAUUCGCGUAUAGGGAUAGGGUAAGCCCCUAUCUCUUGCGCCAGGAGCCAGCCGUCCUUGGUGUUCACUUCUUAGAGGGACUGUCGGGGUAGCACCCGGAAGGAAGUUUUAGGUAAUAACA